Molecule: ribosomal RNA, 253 nt
Filed under: uncultured bacterium
Lineage: Bacteria
Description: partial 16S ribosomal RNA
Rfam family: Bacterial small subunit ribosomal RNA
Source: RNAcentral
UACGGAGGGGGCUAGCGUUAUUCGGAAUUAUUGGGCGUAAAGGGCGUGUAGGCGGCUUUGUAAGUCUUGUGUGAAAGCCCUCGGCUCAACCGGGGAACUGCACGAGAAACUGCAUGGCUUGAGUCCGGGAGAGGAUAGCGGAAUUCCCAGUGUAGCGGUGAAAUGCGUAGAUAUUGGGAGGAACACCGGUGGCGAAGGCGGCUAUCUGGACCGGUACUGACGCUGAAACGCGAAAGCCAGGGGAGCAAACGGG